Phyllostomus discolor (pale spear-nosed bat) is the source of this 104-nucleotide small nuclear RNA. The record is from RefSeq and is a predicted model, not a curated record. Lineage: Eukaryota; Metazoa; Chordata; Mammalia; Chiroptera; Phyllostomidae.
GUUCUCACCUCAGCAGCACAUAUACUAAAAUUGGAAAGAUACAGAGAUAAGCAUGGCCCCUGUGCAAGGAUGACAUGCAAAUCUGUGAAAUGUUCCGUAUUUUU